This 1288-nucleotide unclassified non-coding RNA is filed under the name Hevea brasiliensis (rubber tree). The record is from RNAcentral. Lineage: Eukaryota; Viridiplantae; Streptophyta; Magnoliopsida; Malpighiales; Euphorbiaceae.
AGGAUGGGCAAGACUAUAAAACUGAAGCUGCAUGUUCUGGCACAACUGUGGUGUCAGAAAUUGACAAAGAUUCUUUUCCUUGUCUAGUGAAGAUAUAUGAUUCUCCUGAGUCAGAGUUGAAGCUAAAUGAUGUUUUUGAAUUUGUUGGGGUUCUUACUUUUGAUUCAGAGAUUCCAGCAGAGAAGGGUGAUCACGAUGAGUUCUGUAAUGAUUAUUGUGAUGAUGAUUUGGUACAUUUGCCAUCCAGCAAGGUCCCACGGCUACAUUGUAUUAUUCAUCGGAAGCUUGCAGCUCACGAUUUUCUGCACACUUCCCCCAUAAUUGAGCAGAAGCCCCAUUGGGUCAAAGAUGUGAGGGAAUCUCUGUUGAAGCAUCUUACAGAUGUUCUUGGAAAUGAUGGGGUAGCAGCACAUUACAUGUUGCUGCAUCUCCUGUCCAGGGUACAUUCCAGGGUAGACAAUGUUGCAGUGGGGAAGCUUUCAUUAAACAUUACUUGUUUGAGCAAAGAGAGUGUUUCUGUAUUUGGCACCCAGCUUAGUCUUGCUAUCAAGAACCUUCUACCAUUUUCAACAUGCAUACCCCUAACUGUGGAAUAUCUUAGCAGAAGUUCUCUUGCCCCCAAAAAAGAUUAUCAGACAAACAGACUGAUACCUGGAGUCCUGCAGCUUGCUGAGGGCUCACACUUGAUCAUUGAUGAGACCCAAUUGGAGACAGGAACCCUCAACUCUGUUGGUGUUGACAAUGCAAGGUUGCUAAGAAAUUUAAUAGAGUUCCAAAAGGUUGAGUAUGAUUUUACAUACUAUAAGAUGGAGAUGACAGCUGAUGUUCAAUUGCUAAUAUUGUCUGAGGGGAAAUCAAACAUCUUGCCAGCUGAUAUAAUCAUGCCCUUCCAGCCUUCUUCAGUUGGUUCCUCAGAACAAAAGCCCUGGAGGCUUGGAGAUGGUACUUGGCUACUGUCAGAUCAUUGCCACAUUCUAUUGAGUCUGAAAUGCAGAAGGUUGUAGAAGAUGACCUGGUUGCUGCAAGGCAGACAGAUCGAAGUAUAGGCAGCCAAGAUUUUAGCAGAUGGUUGACAAUGGGCCGACUAAUUUCUUCAAGUUUUGGCGAGACAUCACUAUCAUUGGAGCAUUGGCAAAUGGUGAAGGAGUUAGAGAGGCAAAGGAGGGAGAGACUCAAGUGAAAUAUGCUCUGUUACUGCCUUACUGGAAUUGACCCACUUCAGUUCUUGUAAAAAACUAGUCCAAUGCCGAAAAUUUAAUUCAUGUUUAUUGUGCUCUUUUGAGCGAAG